RNAcentral lists this ribosomal RNA (465 nucleotides) under uncultured bacterium. RNAcentral's name for it is "partial 16S ribosomal RNA". It matches the Rfam family "Bacterial small subunit ribosomal RNA", at positions 28 to 507 of the family's 1533-position model. The record is from RNAcentral.
GACGAACGCUGGCGGCGUGCUUAACACAUGCAAGUCGAACGGAAAGGCCCUGCUUGCAGGGUACUCGAGUGGCGAACGGGUGAGUAACACGUGGGUGAUCUGCCCUGCACUUCGGGAUAAGCCUGGGAAACUGGGUCUAAUACCGGAUAGGAGCCAUUUUUAGUGUGAUGGUUGGAAAGUUUUUUCGGUGUAGGAUGAGCUCGCGGCCUAUCAGCUUGUUGGUGGGGUAAUGGCCUACCAAGGCGGCGACGGGUAGCCGGCCUGAGAGGGUGGACGGCCACAUUGGGACUGGGGGACGGCCCAGACUCCUGAGGGGGGGAGCAGGGGGGAAUGUUGGACAAUGGGCGGAAGCCUGAUGCAGCGAAGCCGCGUGGGGGAUGACGGCCUUCGGGUUGUAAACUCCUUUCGCUAGGGACGAAGCUUUUUGUGACGGUACCUAGAUAAGAAGCACCGGCUAACUACGUG